RNAcentral lists this ribosomal RNA (194 nucleotides) under uncultured eukaryote. Its description in RNAcentral is "partial 18S ribosomal RNA". It matches the Rfam family "Eukaryotic small subunit ribosomal RNA", at positions 1 to 198 of the family's 1831-position model. The record is from RNAcentral.
GUAACCUGGUUGAUCCUGCCAGUGUCAUAUGCUUGUCUCAAAGAUUAAGCCAUGCAUGUCUUAGUGUAAAUAACUCUUAUGAAACUGCGAAUGGCUCAUUAAAUCAGUUAUCAAAUACGUGAUGGUCGCCUACUACAUGGAUAACCGUAGUAAUUCUAGGGCUAAUACAUGCACAAAGGCCCACGCAAGUGAGU